GCGCCAGUAGCUCAGUUGGAUAGAGCGUCGGCCUCCGAAGCCGAAAGUCGGGGGUUCAAAUCCCUCCUGGCGUA
Molecule: transfer RNA, 74 nt
Filed under: Chitinivibrionales bacterium
Lineage: Bacteria; Pseudomonadati; Fibrobacterota; Chitinivibrionia; Chitinivibrionales
Description: tRNA-Arg
Rfam family: tRNA
About the family: Transfer RNA (tRNA) molecules are approximately 80 nucleotides in length. Their secondary structure includes four short double-helical elements and three loops (D, anti-codon, and T loops).
Source: RNAcentral